RNAcentral lists this long non-coding RNA (1673 nucleotides) under Linum usitatissimum (flax). RNAcentral describes it as "long non-coding RNA (LUSI_LNC006374)". The record is from RNAcentral. Lineage: Eukaryota; Viridiplantae; Streptophyta; Magnoliopsida; Malpighiales; Linaceae.
CGUCUCUCUGCUAUGUUCCUUGAAUUUCACCAAGAACCAAAUUCUUACCAUCACUAGGUCAAGCACCUACAACUGUACAAACCCUUCACUCGAUCUGAACUAUCCAUCAUUCAUAGCAUUCUACAACAAGAAUGUAACAACAGUUAUAACUCAAGUUUAUCAGAGAGUAGUGACAAAUGUAGGUGGAGCUGCUACGUAUAAAGUGAAGGUAACUGCACCAAAGGGCUCAAACGUCACAGUCUGGCCAGAGACUUUGGUUUUCGGGAAGAAGUAUGAGCAACAGCAAUAUUCAAUCAAGAUUACGUAUCCAAGCAAUCACGAUGGUAAAGUUUCAUAUGGCUCAAUUGUCUGGACGGACGAAAGUGGAUCACAUACUGUAAGGAGCCCUAUUGUUGUGACACCAAGUUCAGGCAACUAAGAUGCUUCUAGCUAAAUGUGUUGUGUAAUCCUUCAGUUUGAUGGAUAACAGCACAAAUAUGGAGAUCUUGUUGCUUGCAGAUUUAACUAGUCGAAUAAAAACCACUCUACUUUUUUGUAUCUGUAAAUGUUCAAACUUUAAACAAGAUGAGUAAAGGACAUAGUCACAUAACUACAAUCAAAAUGAGUAUCAAUAACUCUUGCAAUUAACAUUCAAAGGGCAGAAACUUGGCACAUAUGAGAUUGGAUGGACUCAAAAUUCUUCUGACGAUAAGAUUACCAGUAAAGACAAGAGACAAGAUAAAUUAGUUUUUUUCAGAAAAAUACCAAGAAGAAGAACAAUAACAGAAAAUGCCUAAUUGUGGUGGGCUCUCUCAGCGAUUAACUAUUUGGUGAUUUGUCUUUGCUAGUUGCUUGACCGCAAAGAAAGGGGACAAUAACAUGCUUCCACGCCUCAACCACAUACUCUAUUUCUUUGUUUUGUUGCUCACAUGACCAAAUAUCGUUAAAGCAUUAUAAUAAUAAAGUAAAAUAAAAUAUUUAGAUGAAAAUUUUCAACAUUCAUGCCUGCUGCAACUCUGCCUCUAAUCUCAAUGCUAAGUUCAUGGUGGCCCUUUUUAUGAUUUUUUUCUGACCAAAGUUGAGAAAUAACAGUUGAUGUUUACGGUAACCCAUAGUGCAUAGUUGUUUAGUUAAAUGCUAACAUGCCUGGAGAAAUGCUAUGACUUGUGAUUUAUGAAAUGUCCUUUCUGUCCACAGACAAAUAACAGCAAAAAACAAUACAUAUCUAUGGUCAUAAUUUGGGAUGAAUGACAGAAUAAAACGAAGCUGUUUCCGUCUGUGAUAUCAUCCAGAAAACGAAGAAGACUAAAUAGAAAGGAAGAUGGGAGGGAAAUGGCGUAUUGACAUAAUAAUCAUGAAGAUGAUAACAAAAAUACAAACACAACACGGCCAAUAAUAUGAAUCCAUGAUCUCCUCACUACUACUCCUACGACUGUGACACAGAGAUAGAAUAAUGGAGGGCAGUUCUGUACUUGACGAAAUAUGAAAAUGAUUAAUUCCAGUAUCACAAUUGUAUUGACAAAGUUGGACUUAUCGAGCGGCAAGUCCGGCAUACUUGAAGGGUAAAAGGUUCCACAACAUACCUUCCUGCUGUAGGAUUUUGUCAUUUGGCCAUAUAAGAUUUGCCAACUUUCUUCAACCUCUUCUUGUCAGUCCAUCCAUCCAUCCCUUCGCCAAGGAUGGAGAAAAACAAC